UGUAGCGACGCAUCGAUUGAUGUCGACGUCAAAAAUUCGUCAACGUCAAAUUUCUCCGUCAACGAUUUUCGCCAUACGAGAAAAAAAAUUUGAAAAAUGGACGAAAGUCAAAAUAAAGGAAAAUGUCCGCGCGCGAAAUCCUCAAAAGUAUGGAAAUACUUCAAGAUGAGUCCUAAACGGAAAGGUGUUGUGAUUUGCACUCUUUGCCAAAUGGAUAUGGCAUAUCACAAGAGCACGACGGCUAUGUUGGAGCAUCUCAAACGGAGGCACCCCAUUGUCACUCAUGAUAGAGACGAUUGCAAGUAAGUACCAACGUUGGUUAAAUUAAUUUCAUGUUUGUGUGGUGUGUUGUGUGGCUUGGGCUCUGCGCGGUGCGGUUUGUUCGUGCUGGGUUGGUGGUGUCACGUUAAAAUUGUACCGGGGGCGAAAAUUGUACCGGCCUACGUCAUCCAUAGUAAUCCAUUCCAAACCUGCCUGGCAACAGACGAUCGCGUCGGGCGAUCGCGUCGAAUGACGUGGAAGGUUCUUCAACAUUCGCGAACUCGUUCAUUGAGCACGACAAGAAAGAUAACACUUAUUUUACAAAUUACAUUUAUUAGCGUUCCUAACUUUAUAUUUGUAUUGUAUUGCAUUGUAUUUUGCAUUGUAACCAGAUCAAAAUUGUUAUGUGCACCCCUGGCCAUUUCCAUGUUACAAAACAACACAGACAGAGACACAGCUGCUGCGUUAGGCUAGCCAUGAUGAUCAAAUGCAUUGUUAGACAUAACAUUACUUUUAAAAGUAGCCACGAUAGCAUUCAAAUAAACUAAUCAUAGCAAAGCACUGCAAUGAGGUUAAGAGUAGAUUUAAAAUGCCCCACUGUCAUAGCUGUUAUUCUAAUAUGCAUUACUUUUGUGUUUUCUUGGACAAAGCAAAGAACCUUGCCGUCCUACCUUGGGAAAGAGACACAAUGCACUCCACAGAAGGCAGCUGAACUGAGCAAAAAGAUCUUGAGAGUGAUCGUCAAAGACAUGAGGCCUUUGUCUCUUGUUGAGGGUGAAGCCUUCAUAGACAUGAUUGAAUAUGCCUGCCCAGGCUUCAAAUGUCCCUCUAGGUGGUGGUUCACAAAGCAGUUGGAGAAGGCAUAUCAACAUACUCUUGAAGAUCUGAAGAAAGACCUAAAGAAGAGGUCCUCAAAAAUCACACUCACCACAGAUGCCUGGACAAGUAUUGCCACAGAGGCAUACCUCGGAGUGACCUGCCACUACAUAAACGACAACUGGGAGAUGGUCUCAUUUGUUUUGUGCACAAAGCCCCUUGAGGACCGACACACUGCAGAAAACAUUGCUCGCUGGAUUGAAGAGGUUGCCGAGAAGUUUGACUUCUCUCUCCUUGAUGAUGUCCUGGCGAUUGUCCACGAUAAUGCAGCUAAUGUGGUCAACGCCCUUAGAAUCCUUGAAGAGAGGCAGGGCGUUGCCUCACUUCGAUGUGCUGGCCAUACCACCCAGUUGAUCGUCAACCAUGCUCUGAAAGAGCCCCGCAUCAACAAGGCACUUGGGGCAGCAAGGAGCCUCGCCGGGUACUUCCAUAGCAGCGAUGUUGCCACCCUGAAGUUGAAACUCAAACAAGAGCAAAUGGGCACAGCUCCUCACAAGUUGACCCAGGAUGUAGCUGUUAGAUGGAAUAGUUCUUACUAUAUGAUCAAACGCCUCCUUGAGCAGCGGUGGUAGCAAAGCACUACCUGGAUAUGAAACCUGACCAGUGGAGCCUCCUGGAGGAGCUACAGCAAGCACUUGAGCCCUUUGAGCAAGCCACCGUCUUCCUGAGUGGAGAAGCAUACGUCACAGUCUCUGUCCUGCCUCCGCUAGUGAAAGCCCUACAGAAGUCCACGCAGACAGUCUUUGAGUCCGCUUCCGUCACCACCUUCCAAACAGCAGCCGCAGCAGAGAUUGCUUCAAGAUGGAAGAUUGAGGCUAUAUAUAAUGAAGACGGGAAAAAUGUGUGCAUCUUCGCCGCGGCCCUUGAUCCGAGAUUCCGAAAACUCAAGUUCCUAUCCACAGAAGACAUCCUGAAGGUGAAACUCAAACUUCAGACCCUUGCACUUGAAGCCAGACGAGUGCAAGUGAGGGAAGAGCCUGAAGAAGAUGACAGUGACCAGCCAGAUCAUUCCAGACAGAAGCCAAAGACUGUUCUGGACAUGUUGCUUGGCACAGAUGAUGAUGAGGAGCUGGAAGAUGAAGACCCAGGCCAAGACGGAAGGGAUGAUGGUGUCAGGAAUGAGCUGCUUGCAUACUUUAGGGAGAAACAGAUUCCAAAGGACAAAAACCCACUCCAGUGGUGGAAGGAAAAUGAAACAAAGUUCCCUGCCCUGGCUGUUGUGGCGAAAUCCUAUCUGGCUGCCCCUGCAACAUCCACACCUUCGGAACGUCUGUUCUCAGCAGCAGGGUCCAUCGUGAGCAAAAAAAGAGCAAGCCUCACCAAAGAGCACGUGGACAUGCUCACAUUCCUCCACAGUAAUUCAGAGUAGGUAGCUAAAGAGUGGUGAGGGAGGAGAGAAGUGGAGGAAAGUGGACAGUGCUAUAUUGCAAAAACUUCAUUAGCAUGUAAGCUAGUAGAAUAGCAGUUAAGAGUCAGUUUGAUUGUGCAUCAGGUUUUGUGUUGGUUUUUGCACUGCAUUUUUUGGAUCUUUUGUUCAGGAGAGAUUAAUGUUUGGAAAAUAGCAAACUAUUUUAUUUAUUUUAAUUUGUGUAAAGGAGAAGGUUUUU
RNA transcript from Gadus macrocephalus (Pacific cod), 2744 nucleotides. It is a transcript of the gene named E3 SUMO-protein ligase ZBED1-like, with no coding region annotated. The transcript has 3 exons. Lineage: Eukaryota; Metazoa; Chordata; Actinopteri; Gadiformes; Gadidae. The record is from RefSeq and is a predicted model, not a curated record.